This 466-nucleotide ribosomal RNA is filed under the name uncultured bacterium. Its description in RNAcentral is "bacterial SSU rRNA". It matches the Rfam family "Bacterial small subunit ribosomal RNA", at positions 28 to 507 of the family's 1533-position model. The record is from RNAcentral.
GAUGAACGCUGGCGGCGUGCUUAACACAUGCAAGUCGAACGGACUUUUAUUGAAGCCUAGCGAUAUAAAAGUUAGUGGCGGACGGGUGAGUAACGCGUGAAUAACCUGCCUUAUACUGGGGGACAACAGUUGGAAACGACUGCUAAUACCGCAUAAGCGCACGGUUCCGCAUGGAACAGUGUGAAAAACUCCGGUGGUAUAAGAUGGAUUCGCGUCUGAUUAGAUAGUUGGUGAGGUAACGGCUCACCAAGUCGACGAUCAGUAGCCGGCCUGAGAGGGUGAACGGCCACAUUGGGACUGAGACACGGCCCAAACUCCUACGGGAGGCAGCAGUGGGGAAUAUUGCACAAUGGGGGAAACCCUGAUGCAGCGACGCCGCGUGAGUGAAGAAGUAUUUCGGUAUGUAAAGCUCUAUCAGCAGGGAGAAAAUGACGGUACUGACUAAGAAGCCCCGGCUAACUACGUG